This 492-nucleotide ribosomal RNA is filed under the name uncultured bacterium. Its description in RNAcentral is "partial 16S ribosomal RNA". It matches the Rfam family "Bacterial small subunit ribosomal RNA", at positions 29 to 507 of the family's 1533-position model. The record is from RNAcentral.
AGUGAACGCUGGCGGUAGGCCUAACACAUGCAAGUCGAACGGCAGCACAGUAAGAGCUUGCUCUUACGGGUGGCGAGUGGCGGACGGGUGAGGAAUACAUCGGAAUCUACUUUUUCGUGGGGGAUAACGUAGGGAAACUUACGCUAAUACCGCAUACGACCUACGGGUGAAAGCAGGGGAUCUUCGGACCUUGUGCGAUUGAAUGAGCCGAUGUCGGAUUAGCUAGUUGGCGGGGUAAAGGCCCACCAAGGCGACGAUCCGUAGCUGGUCUGAGAGGAUGAUCAGCCACACUGGAACUGAGACUCAGUCCAGACUCCUACGGGAGGCAGCAGUGGGGAAUAUUGGACAAUGGGCGCAAGCCUGAUCCAGCCAUACCGCGUGGGUGAAGAAGGCCUUCGGGUUGUAAAGCCCUUUUGUUGGGAAAGAAAAGCAGCAGGUUAAUACCCCGCUGUUCUGACGGUACCCAAAGAAUAAGCACCGGCUAACUUCGUG